UUUAUACGACCGCAAAAAUUAAAAAUGUUUUGGUCGUAUAUUGGUAUGACGUUGGCGUCGUCGUCGUCGUCGUCGUCGUCGUUGUCGUCGUCGUCGUCGUCGUCGUUGUCGUCGUCGUCGUCGUCGUCGUCGUCCGGCGUCGUCCGGCGUCGUCCGAAGACACAUUGGUUUUCGCACUCUAACUUUAGUUUAAGUGAAUGGAUCUCCAUGAAAUUUCACCAUAAGGUUCAAUACCACAAAAGGAAGGUUGGGAUUGAUUUUGGGGGUUAUGGUACCAACAGUUAAGGAAUUAGGGGCCAAAAAGGGGCCAAAAAUAAGCAUUUUUGUAACUUUCAGACAAUAACUUGUGUGUAAGUGUAUGGAUCUCUCUGACAUUGUACCACAAGGUUCCAUAUCACAAAGGGAAGGCUGUAAUUGAUUUUGGGGGUAAUUGCCUCAAAAUUUUAGGAACAAGGGGCCAAAAAAGGGGCAAAAAACAAGCAUUUUUCUAGUUUCAUGACAAUAACUUGUGUGUUAGUGUUUGGAUAUUUCUGAAAUUGUACUACAAGGUUCCAUAUCACAAAGGGAAAGCUGGAAUUGAGUUUGGGGGUAAUUGCCCGAAACGUUUUGGAAUUGGGGGCCAAAAAGGGGCCAAAAAUAAGCAUUUUUCUAGUUUCCAGACAAUAACUUGUGUUCAAGUGUAUGGAUCUCUCUGAAAUUGUACUGCAAGGUACCAUACCACAAAGGGAAGGCUGGGAUUGAGUUUGGGGGUGAUGAAUCAUAAGGGGGUUCAAAAAAUUUGGGGGGGGGAUUUUUUUUUUUUUUUUUUUUCUUUUUUUCCUUUUUUUUUUUCUUUUAAAAUUUUCCAUUUUAAGUUGGUUAUUUCUGAUUUAUAUUUAAAAGCAAAUAAUAAUGAUAUGGUAGGAGAUACACACCAAACAGGAUGUGUAAAUUAUUAUAUAAUAAGUAUUGUGCAAUAGCAAGAAAUUUUCAAUUGCACAGUAUUGCACAAUAGCAAGAAAUCUUCAAUUGCACAGUAUUGCGCAAUAGCAAGAAAUCUUCAAUUUAACAGUAUUGCGCAAUAGCAAGAAAUAUCCAAUAGCACAAUAUUGCGCAAUAGCAAGAAAUUGUCAAUUGUACAGUAUUGCGCAAUAGCAAGAAAUAUUCAAUUGCACAGUAUUGUGCAAAAGAAGAUACUUCGUAUAAAUUGCUUAUUUCUUGAUCAAUUUCAAUGGGGUUUUAUUCUUGAAUUCUUGGGGUUCUUUAAUAUGCUGAAUCUAACCGUGUAUUAAGUUUUUGGAUUUUGGGCCCCGUUUUUAAAUUGGUCCACAUUGAGGUCCAAAGGGUCCAAAAUUUAACUUUGUUUGAUUUCAUCAAAAAUUGAAUUAUUGGGAUUCUUUGAUAUGCCGAAUCUAACCGUGUAUUUAGAUUCUUAAUUUUUGGUUCCGUUUUCAAAUUGGUCUACAUUAAGGCCAAAAGGGUCCAAAAUUAAACUUAGUUUGAUUUUAACAAAAAUUGAAUAUAUGGGGUUCUUUGAUAUGCUGAAUCUAACCAUGUAUUUAGAUUUUUGAUUUUUGGGCCCCGUUAUCAACUUUGUCCACAUUGAGGUCAAAAGGGUCCAAAAUUAAACUUUGUUUGAUUUCAUCAAAAAUUGAAUUCUUGGGGUUCUUUGAUAUGCUGAAUCUAACCAUUUAUUUAGAUUUUUUAUUUGUGGACCUGCUAUCAAAUUGGUUCAUAUUGAGGUCAAAAGGGUCCAAAAUUAAACUUUGUUUGAUUUCAUAAAAAAUUGAAUUAUUGGGGUUCUUUGAUAUUCCAAAUCUAACCGUGUAUUUAGAUUUUUAAUUUUGGGUCCCGUUUUUAAAUUGGUCUACAUUAAGGUCCAAAGGGUCCAAAAUUAAACUUAGUUUGAUUUUAACAAAAAUUGAAUUCUUGGGGUUCUUUGAUAUGCUGAAUCUAAACAUGUGUUUAGAUUUUUGAUUAUGGGCCCAGUUUUCAAGUUGGUCCAAGUUGGGGUCCAAAAUUAAACUUUGUUUGAUUUCAACAAAAAUUGAAUAUAUGGGGUUCUUUGAUAUGCUGAAUCUAAACAUGUAUUUAGAUUUUAGAUUUUUGGCCCAGUUUUCAAGUUGGUCCAAAUUGGGGUCCAAAAUUAAACUUUGUUUGAUUUCAACAAAAAUUGAAUAUAUGGGGUUCUUUGAUAUGCUGAAUCUUACCAUGUAUUUAGAUUUUUUUUUGUGGGCCCGCUAUCAAAUUGGUUCAUAUUGAGGUCAAAAGGGUCCAAAAUUAAACUUUGUUUGAUUUCAUCAAAAAUUUAAUUAUUGGGGUUCUUUGAUAUGCCAAAAUCUAACCGUGUAUUUAGAUUUUUAAUUUUGGGUCCCGUUUUUUAAAUUGGUCUACAUUAAGGUCCAAAGGGUCCAAAAUUAAACUUAGUUUGAUUUUAACAAAAAUUGAAUUCUUGGGGUACUUUGAUAUGCUGAAUCUAAACAUGUGUUUAGAUUUUUGAUUAUGGGACCAGUUUUCAAGUUUGUCCAAAUCGGUGUCCAAAAUUAAACUUUGUUUGAUUUCAACAAAAAUUGAAUAUAUGGGGUUCUUUGAUAUGCUGAAUCUAACCAUGUAUUUUGAUUUUGGACAUUGGACCAUAAUAGGUAAAUUAAAAAAAUUGAAGUUCUUAGACCACAUUCUUUCUGUGUCAGAAACCUAUGCUGUGUCAAAUAUUUAAUCACAAUCCAAAUUCAGAGCUGUAUCAAGCUUGAAUGUUGUGUCCAUACUUGCCCCAACUGUUCAGGGUUCGACCUCUGCGGUCGUAUCAAGCUGCGCCCAGCGAAGCAUUUUAUUUUAAAUUUGUCUA
Long non-coding RNA from Mytilus californianus (California mussel), 2824 nucleotides. RefSeq lists it as uncharacterized. The transcript is spliced from 2 exons. The record is from RefSeq and is a predicted model, not a curated record. NCBI's taxonomy places the organism in Eukaryota, Metazoa, Mollusca, Bivalvia, Mytilida, Mytilidae.